GAGGGGUAUAAGGAGAGGAUAAGGAACACAUUUCACAGAUGACCAGAUCAAAGAGUGACAGCUUGGUGGAUCCCUUUGUCUCACUUUGUUUUUCAUCUCUCUCUACCUGGCUCCUCUCUUUUUUGGACAACCAAUAAAAGUCCACUAAUCUAAUUAGGGUUUGCUUAAAGAGACAAAGUGGAGCCUCAUCUGGACUGAGUUCGAGAAAAAAACUGCUUUUUUGUGAACUGUGGUUUGGAAAAUCUCCAGUUUUGAGGGAGGAGCAGGGAUUUUGCUUAUCAUCACUGCUUCACGUCUCACCUCUUUGCUGCUUUCAGGUUUGCUCCUAUAUGGACAAGAGCUUAUCUCCGGCAUCCAAAAAGUGCUGCACUCAAGGGAAUCGCAUACGUGCAUAAGACAGACGCUCAGGUUGACUCUAGGGACACGCAACAAGUGAAAGAUAAGAAGCAACUGUAGAUUAAAGCAGGGAUUAAAAUGAAAUGAAUUAUUAAUACCUGUAGAUUAAUUGCUGGUUUCAAUCUAAUAUUUAAACCCUAGAGUAGAUCCAUACUGAGCAGCCACAUACAGCUGAUUAAUAAUGGAGAUGGAGCCGGCAGCCCACAUGUAAACAAUGUGUUUGACAUCCACUCACUCUGACAAAAACAUUACACUGUGAUAUAUCCAAAACAUGCCAAGUCAUCAUGAUGUUAGCUAUUAUAUUACAAUUGAACUCAAAGUCUAAAAUGACAGUAAAUAUGCAUUAAGAUGGGAAAGCAGAUAAUGUCACACACAUCGUCAUGCUGACACUGUAGUUUUGAACCAGCAGUUGGGUUUUGUUUGGCUUGCGGCAUGAUGGUGAGUGUGAUUUUACUACAACAAGGGUGUGGCUGCUCUCAACUUUACCACACAAGGCACGCACACACACACUGUCUUUCAGCAUUAAAGAGCCAGUGUAGUCAUAAAUCUGCGAAUCCUCACUCCUGUUCCUCUUUGUCUAUGUGUAGCAGCUGGCAAUAAGGAGUGAAAUUCACAGUAAGAUGGAGGUCAUUAUUUAAACUUAUUUCUCUGUUAUUUAAAUAUUAUGAUCUAAACUUUUAGAAAUGAGUUUUUGUUGCCACGCAGAAAAGCUUGAAUCCAUCCUGCCUUGUAUUAUAGUUCAGGCUGAAGGUGGUGGUGUAGUAAUGUAAUAAUGUGGGGGACAUUUUCUUGGUACACUUAGUAACAGCUGAGCAUCAAUUAAGAACACCACAGACUACCUGAGUAUUGGCACUGACCAUGUCCACCGCUUUAUGAUCACAGUGCUUCCAGCAGGAUAAUGCUUUCUUGAAGGUUUUUUUUAAAGAAUUGUGUCAUGGAUGCGCAAUGGAGAAAUUUGUGAUGCCAUCAUGUCAAUAUGGAUCAAAAUCUCUGAGGAAUGUGUCCAGCAACAUGUUGAAUCUAUGCCAUGAAGAAUUAAGUCAGUUAUGAAGGCAAGGUGUUAAUAGAGUGACCAGUAAGUGAAUUUUCCUGUGUGUACUCAGGCAUCACAACCUUUUGCAACUUAAAACUGCACACAAAAGACAAACAGGUCAAACGGAUAUACACUGUCAUGAUAGUAGAACUGCUUUUACUACUAGCAGUGUUAACCAAACCGGUCAGGCAAGCCAACAGGAGCCAAGUUUUUUUCUCCCUUAAAACUGUUGGGCGGAGACAUGUGCAUGGGUGACGGCACGUUCCCCUUGCUCCUCUGCAGGCAUUUCCAAACAGAUAGAGGUACUUUUCCAUCUGUAAAGCACCACAGGAAUCAGUGCCAGUAUUUUUCCUCAUGUUUUUAGUACACAGCAUAUAUAAUAGAGAAUGUAAAGGUAUGACACAGAGGCGGAAAUAAAAUAUUAGUUUUAGUUUCGAAGAGUUUGACGUGGGCUCUCCAGGAAUUGUGUGUGCAGUACAUGUGUUGGUAAACAGAUGCACUUGUCUACCUUUGCACUCAGGUCUGUGCUUAUAAUUGUUAGAACACUAUGACCUUGUAGGUGCAGCUCAGUAUGUACUCUUGUGUGCGUGCAGACCGGGAUAAAACAUUUACAGUCAUGGCCAUAAAUCAUGUCAUGCAGGUGGCGAUUAAAUUUGCAUUACAGGCCAUAAAACUCCGGGUGUGUGCUGAAUAUUAUCAGCAGGGACUUGAGUGUUUAUAUAUGUAAUAAAAUUAUUGUUCCAUGAUAAAUCUGCAGUGAUAAUUCCACCCUGAUCCCAGCAGAUAACAACUGAGGAAUAUGCACAGAUUACUUCACCUUUGUUUUGUUUUUUUUACCUUGGUGUUAAUAAGCAUGACUUCCCUCUUGAUGAGCAUUUAAAUGCAGAUUCACUUCCUUUUAUUGUGGCUUACAGUAACUGGUUCCGUAUGUUUUAUUACAGUUUGUCGCGGUUAAGGUGCUCAAGGUAUUCACAAACACUGUGCACUACAUAUGUAACCCACCAAAACGUAUAACUCAUUCACUCAGUUGUUAAUUUCAUGUCAAAAACUAUCUCAGUCUAACUUCAGUUUUUAAAUAUUGCUACUGUAGCUAAUUUGGUCAAAUCCUAACUCACCUUCCUCUUCUUACAGUAUUUAUUUAUUUAUUUUUUAUUUCUCAAACCCUUCCUGACCUCUGCCCCUGAACCACUCCAGCCUCAACUGACCUUUAGUCAGUAUUCUUCUGGAAACCACCCUGACCCACAAACCACUCUGGAUCACUUGCCUCUGGCUCCUCACUUCCCCUCUCAGCUCAACCUGUACCUACUUGGUUCAACUCGACUCUACUCAGUUUUGAGCGUCUUCCAUUACUGUCGAGUACCACCGCUAUGUACUUGGGGUCGUUACAGCAAUGUGGCCGAAAGUCCCGUGACAUCAUUUGUAUGUGACACAAUGCAACAAUGGAGGAAAUGGAGGUGAUGGUAUACCUGCUGCAUAACCAAUGCUGAGCUGAAUGAAAGAGUGGCACAGACAGGAAGGGCAGCAAAGAGGGAGGGACCUGACGCAGCCCGAGGCUACAGUCUGCAGACAGUAUGUGGACUUUUAAAUGGAGUGGGCUGAUAUGGCAUUUAAACAUGUCUGUCGCAGCAAACUCCAUUUCCUCAUGUGGGCAGGUUGUCGUCUGGAAGGAAAUCAAACUCAUUUCUGAAGGGCAAACAUGGUAUGUACUGUGACAAGGAUCCCUGCAUUGGUUUGCUUAUGAAGAAAUAUAUGUGCUAAAGCAGAUGGGCUUGAAAAAAAGAUAAAUAAAGAUAAAUAAAUUUUUACCUUUUCUUUUAACAACUACUGCAGAACUGCCUUCUCCAAUUAUACUUCUGUCUAAAAUACCAGAGAGCCCAAACUAUUACUAAUGGACUUUGUCAGAAAGUCACAAGCAAUGAAGGCGAGAACAAGGCACCCUCCACUAAUCGCAUAUUUUUGAGCACUGUAUACAACAUAAUCAUGUUUUUCAGUUGUUAUUUGUCCAGUACCCUCAGACGAGUAUCAUAAAUCAGAUGGCACGGAGUACUCGGUCUUAAAGUCACAUGAUUGCCGUUCAAAAGCAGAGAGUGGAGUAAUUGUCCAGAUGUUUCAUAGUUCUGACCCUCUUUUAACAUGAUACAGCUGUAUACAGCUUUGCUGAUUGACUGACUAAUUCACCCAACAAAAACCUCCUGGCAAUAUGUUUGCAAUCAAAAUGUAUAAUCUUUUCAAUAUGGCGAGGAACGGUUCUCGGAUAAGUGAUGUUUUAAGCGAUUUCCCAUAAGUUUGCAUUUGGCCUAAAGACAAAAAAGAUCGGCCGUUAAGUGUUUACUUGAUGGUUUAUGGCCAGUUUCCUGCAAAUGACAUUCCACUCAGGCUCAGUGGUAACUUUAUGUUAAUGUUAAUUAGUAAAUGCUAAGCCAUGCUGAUUUGAAUUACAGUAAUGAAGGGUGGACUGCAUCAAUUAGAUUGUCACCACAGAUUUUUUAAAUAAAUGUCAUAUGAUGUAUUUUCUGAACAGCCUGUGUUUGAAGCAGGGUGUAGAUCAAUAUUUAGAUAAAUAUUAUAUUUCAAAUCUGUGAGAAAAUGAGCAUGCAAAGCAUAUGCAUGUGUUUUUUUACUGCAGCACCAUGUGUAACACUUGUACUUUAUCCUGUCACCCUGCAGUUUCCUGCUUCCCAAUGCCCACAGUUUCACACGCUAAGUUCCCACCAUCCAGUCGUGUCUUUCCCACUACCCCUUUUCCUUCCCGCCAUCCAAAUGCCCUGUAUCCAUUUACUGCCCCUUUACACACCUAAAUCCCUCUACUCCCCUCUCACCCCUUCAGCCCACUUCUUUUUUCUUUCUCUCCGUGAAAGAGCACACUUCUUUUUUAACCUGUUUUCCCAUCUUUGUUCCUCUCCUCCUGGCGCUCUUCUAUCCCACUUCUCCUCUCCCUGACACUGUAUCUCCCUUCUGCCCUCCUGUUCAACCAUGAAAUCCGUGUCCAGCUGAGUUGUUCUGGGAGCCAGUGUUACCAGAUGGCAUCAGGCAGAACCCAAACAUCUGUGUUACCCAACUCGGCCCGAACCAGACUCCGAAGGAUACGCAGCUGUAUAAACAGCGUGUGUGUAAAAAUGCAAGCUAUGCGGCCAAGCAAAGGGGUCCUCACCAGGUCGCUAUGAAAAGAAAUAUUAUUAAUAAUGAUAAUAAUGACAGAGGAAAUACCUAAGGUCGAGACGUGACUUUGUGUUUGUGUGACAGUGGGGCAUGGGAAAGAUACAACACAAAACCCCGGGGCCAAGAUUAGAUAGUUUGCGAGGUUUAGUAGAUUAAAAACAUAUUGGACUGUAAUUACAGACAUCACCACAAACAAUACUUAAAAUACAUGAUAUAUUCUCAUGUCUGCAACUCUGUAUGUAAGGUUAGUUUAGGUUAGAAAAGCAGUAAAACCACAA
This is a long non-coding RNA of Oreochromis aureus, 4866 nucleotides long. NCBI's taxonomy places the organism in Eukaryota, Metazoa, Chordata, Actinopteri, Cichliformes, Cichlidae. The record is from Ensembl.